GGUUCGCUUUAUUUCUGACACCUCUUGUAUGAGAAGUGCUUAAAUUGAAUAUAGGUGGUUCGCUGAGCAGAUUAUGCAAUAUUCUGAGCC
This is a non-coding RNA of Spinacia oleracea (spinach), 90 nucleotides long. Lineage: Eukaryota; Viridiplantae; Streptophyta; Magnoliopsida; Caryophyllales; Amaranthaceae. The record is from Rfam.